Molecule: long non-coding RNA, 308 nt
Filed under: Gossypium barbadense (sea-island cotton)
Lineage: Eukaryota; Viridiplantae; Streptophyta; Magnoliopsida; Malvales; Malvaceae
Description: long non-coding RNA (GBAR_LNC008095)
Source: RNAcentral
CAGGGCAUACGCGCUUGUCCUAAGCCAUGUCCCUUAGACGGCUAAGACACACGGCCGUGUCUCUGCCCGUGUGUUUACUAUCAUGCAUACUGACUUCAAAUUUUUACGUCCAGGGGAAACACGGCUGGACCACACGCCUAUGGGGCAGUCCGUGCGUCGCAUACGGUUUAGACAAACGCCCAUGUGUCUACCUGUGUGGACAAUAUAAAGCUAUUUACCAAACCUAAUUGCCACCCUUAUUUACAUAACCUGCAUAGCAGCAACCAAAAUCAAGAUAAGACUAUCCCAAGCAACCAAAUUAGCCACAA